Molecule: non-coding RNA, 61 nt
Organism: Pristionchus pacificus
Lineage: Eukaryota; Metazoa; Nematoda; Chromadorea; Rhabditida; Neodiplogasteridae
Source: Rfam
UCUUCACUUCCCACACUCUCUCACCGGACAGAGUGACGAGAGAGUGCGCGAAAUGAAGAGA